UAAAUACUAAUACCAGAUCGAUAGUGCACAAGUACCGUGAGGGAAAGGUGAAAAGAACUGAGGUGAUCAGAGUGAAAUAGAACCUGAAACCAUUUGCUUACAAUCAUUCAGAGCCCUAUGUAGCAAUACAGGGUGAUGGACUGCCUUUUGCAUAAUGAGCCUGCGAGUUGUGGUGUCUGGCAAGGUUAAGCAAACGCGAAGCCGUAGCGAAAGCGAGUCUGAAUAGGGCGCUUAGUCAGAUGCUGCAGACCCGAAACGAAGUGAUCUAUCCAUGAGCAAGUUGAAGCUAGUGUAAGAACUAGUGGAGGACUGAACCCAUAGGCGUUGAAAAGCCCCGGGAUGACUUGUGGAUAGGGGUGAAAGGCCAAUCAAACUUCGUGAUAGCUGGUUCUCUCCGAAAUAUAUUUAGGUAUAGCGUUGUGUCGUAAUAUAAGGGGGUAGAGCACUGAAUGGGCUAGGGCAUACACCAAUGUACCAAACCCUAUCAAACUCCGAAUACCUUAUAUGUAAUCACAGCAGUCAGGCGGCGAGUGAUAAAAUCCGUCGUCAAGAGGGAAACAACCCAGACUACCAGCUAAGGUCCCUAAAUCUUACUUAAGUGGAAAACGAUGUGAAGUUACUUAAACAACCAGGAGGUUGGCUUAGAAGCAGCCAUCCUUUAAAGAAAGCGUAAUAGCUCACUGGUCUAGUGAUUUUGCGCGGAAAAUAUAACGGGGCUAAAGUAAGUACCGAAGCUGUAGACUUGCACACAACUUAGAUUAUUUAAGUUUAGAAUAUGAGAAACUAAGUUAUAUGUUUAGUUAUAUUUUUACUGAUUUUUAUAGAGUAAAGAUAGAAAUAAAACUUAGUAAAAUCAGUAAAAAUAUUCUUAGACUAAAGUUAAGUAGUUUAAGUUGUGUGCAAGUGGUAGGAGAGCGUUCUAUUUGCGUCGAAGGUAUACCGGUAAGGAGUGCUGGAGCGAAUAGAAGUGAGCAUGCAGGCAUGAGUAGCGAUAAUUAAUGUGAGAAUCAUUAACGCCGUAAACCCAAGGUUUCCUACGCGAUGCUCGUCAUCGUAGGGUUAGUCGGGUCCUAAGUCGAGUCCGAAAGGGGUAGACGAUGGCAAAUUGGUUAAUAUUCCAAUACCAACAUUAGUGUGCGAUGGAAGGACGCUUAGGGCUAAGGGGGCUAGCGGAUGGAAGUGCUAGUCUAAGGUCGUAGGAGGUUAUACAGGCAAAUCCGUAUAACAAUACUCCGAGAACUGAAAGGCUUUUUGAAGUCUUCGGAUGGAUAGAAGAACCCCUGAUGCCGUCGAGCCAAGAAAAGUUUCUAAGUUUAGCUAAUGUUGCCCGUACCGUAAACCGACACAGGUGGGUGGGAUGAGUAUUCUAAGGCGCGUGGAAGAACUCUCUUUAAGGAACUCUGCAAAAUAGCACCGUAUCUUCGGUAUAAGGUGUGGUUAGCUUUGUAUUAGGAUUUACUCCGAAAGCAAGGAAACUUACAACAAAGAGUCCCUCCCGACUGUUUACCAAAAACACAGCACUCUGCUAACUCGUAAGAGGAUGUAUAGGGUGUGACGCCUGCCCGGUGCUCGAAGGUUAAUUGAUGGGGUUAGCAUUAGCGAAGCUCUUGAUCGAAGCCCGAGUAAACGGCGGCCGUAACUAUAACGGUCCUAAGGUAGCGAAAUUCCUUGUCGGUUAAAUACCGACCUGCAUGAAUGGCGUAACGAGAUGGGAGCUGUCUCAAAGAGGGAUCCAGUGAAAUUGUAGUGGAGGUGAAAAUUCCUCCUACCCGCGGCAAGACGGAAAGACCCCGUGGACCUUUACUACAGCUUGACACUGCUACUUGGAUAAGAAUGUGCAGGAUAGGUGGGAGGCUUUGAGUAUAUGACGCCAGUUGUAUAUGAGCCAUUGUUGAGAUACCACUCUUUCUUAUUUGGGUAGCUAACCAGCUUGAGUUAUCCUCAAGUGGGACAAUGUCUGGUGGGUAGUUUGACUGGGGCGGUCGCCUCCCAAAUAAUAACGGAGGCUUACAAAGGUUGGCUCAGAACGGUUGGAAAUCGUUCGUAGAGUAUAAAGGUAUAAGCCAGCUUAACUGCAAGACAUACAAGUCAAGCAGAGACGAAAGUCGGUCUUAGUGAUCCGGUGGUUCUGUGUGGAAGGGCCAUCGCUCAAAGGAUAAAAGGUACCCCGGGGAUAACAGGCUGAUCUCCCCCAAGAGCUCACAUCGACGGGGAGGUUUGGCACCUCGAUGUCGGCUCAUCGCAUCCUGGGGCUGGAGCAGGUCCCAAGGGUAUGGCUGUUCGCCAUUUAAAGCGGUACGCGAGCUGGGUUCAGAACGUCGUGAGACAGUUCGGUCCCUAUCUGCCGUGGGCGUAAGAAGAUUGAAGAGAUUUGACCCUAGUACGAGAGGACCGGGUUGAACAAACCACUGGUGUAGCUGUUGUUCUGCCAAGAGCAUCGCAGCGUAGCUAAGUUUGGAAAGGAUAAACGCUGAAAGCAUCUAAGCGUGAAGCCAACUCUAAGAUGAAUCUUCUCUAAGCUCUCUAGAAGACUACUAGUUUGAUAGGCUGGGUGUGUAAUGGAUGAAAGUCCUUUAGCUGACCAGUACUAAUAGAGCGUUUGGCUUAUCUUUAAUAAAGCAU
This 2622-nucleotide ribosomal RNA is filed under the name Campylobacter coli. Its description in RNAcentral is "partial 23S ribosomal RNA". It matches the Rfam family "Bacterial large subunit ribosomal RNA", at positions 467 to 2925 of the family's 2925-position model. RNAcentral also lists the same sequence under 1 other name. The record is from RNAcentral. Lineage: Bacteria; Pseudomonadati; Campylobacterota; Epsilonproteobacteria; Campylobacterales; Campylobacteraceae.